GCGACGGGGGCUUGGCCUCGAACCUCGCCCUUCAAAUCUGAACCCACCCUGGGAUCCGACCUGCUCAAUCAGGAAAGGAACCGGGUGGGCUCCAGCUGAGACUCCUCCCGGACCCGGACCCGCCCCACCCUCAGUUCCAGGCGGGGCCUCCGCCCCAAGCCCCGCCUCAGCCCCGCCCCUCGGAGAGCGGCAGCCAGAGGCAGGAGGGUCCCGGCUUCUACCAGGGGCUUCGGUCUCACGGACUGUCGCAUUUGCAUUUAAUCACUGAGUCUCACCCAGACUGAAGUGCAGUGGCACAAUCUCGGCUCACUCACCGCAGCCUCUGCCUUCCCGGUCCAAGCAAUUCUCCUGCCUCAGCCUCCCAAGUGGCUGGGAUUACAGGUAUGUGCCAUCACGCCCGCUAAGUUUUGUAUUUUUAGUAGAGACAGGGUUUUGCCACUGGUGAUUAAUCCUCCCAAGAAUGCCUCCUGUCACAUUUGAUCCCUGCGGUGGAAAAGUUAAAUAUUAAAUUUGAACUCAAUUGAACGUGGACAGAAACAAUGGUCACCAAGUCCCAGAACAGGUUGUGUGAGCCCCUUGAGGUGUUCGUCCAGCACUGUUUUGGAGAAAUCUCUAUUUCAAUCUAUUCCUACACGUUAGUUAUUGAAAAACAAUAGACAAUUGCAAAAAUAAGUUGAAUGUUUUGUGUUCCUUGAGCCCAGUCGCCAAGGGCCCCGUGACUGGGCCUCAUGCCAAACAACUCGUUACAAAAAGAGCUAGGGUCCCAGACUGCGCCAAAACUUCAUGAGACCUCUCCUCGUCUGUGCAUGGAUGAGUGGCCAACUCUGGAGCCCAGGCUGUUGCUUCUCAGUCUGGUGGUGAAUCCUCUAUAGUCUUAUGAGUGCGGUGUUCAACUCUGGAACCCAGGCUGUUGCUUUCCAGUCUGGUGGUAAAUCCUCCAUAGUCUGGUGAAUGUAAACAUCUUUUCCCUUCUCCCCUUCCCAUUGCAAUUUGCUUAUUAUAUCAAUCUGUUUAUUAUAUCAUUUGCUUACUUAUUAUAUAAUUUGCUUAUUAUAUUAAUUUGCUUGUACCAUUUGCUUAUUAUAUCUCCAUUGCCAUUUACAUGGGAUAAAGCUUGUUUACCCUUAAAGGUAUUGUGUGUGUCUCUUCUUCUCCCCUUGUGCGUUUCCUGCACAGAACAACCCCGCAGCCAAAUUUCUUUUUUCUAUAAAGUUUUCCCUUACAACCCCGCCACCCCCACCGCCCAACAAAGUAUGCCUCUUGUAUGACAUACUCCUAGUGCUUGUUGAUAUAUAGCAACCACCUCUUUGCAUUUGCCAUUUUUUUUUGUUUUUGAGAUAGUGUCUCACUCUGUCACCCAGGCUGCAGCGCAAUGGCGUGAUGUCGGCUCACUGUAACCUCCACUUCCUGGGCUCGUGCCAUCCUCCCACCUCAGCCUCCCAAGUAGAUGGGACUACAGGUGCGUACCACCAUGCCCAGCUAAUUGUUUCUGUAUUUUUGGUAAAGACAGGGUUUCACAUGUUGUCCAAGAUGGUCUCGAACUCCUGAACUCAAGUGAUCCACCUGCCACGACCUCCCAAAGUCCUGGGAUCACAGGUGUGAGCCACUGCGUCCAGGCUGUAUUUGCCACUAUUUGUUUACAUGUUUGUUUCUGCUACUGGACUGGACUCUUUGAUGGUAGUUGUGUUUUAUAUUAUUGCCAUUGUCAAGCACAUAUUACGUGCUUGAUAUCUGAUGAAUAAAUGAAUGAAAAAAAUUAAUGAAGAAGCAAAGGAGCAACAACAAGGAAAGGAAGGAACAAUACACAGUUGCUUCUUAAACUAAUACUAUUGCAAAGAAAGGGGUAACAAGAUUGGGUUUAGAGAAAGCCCCAGUCUGGAGCUGACGAUGGAUAGGAGGGGAAUCUCUAGUUGGAAAAAUAUAUUAAAAGUGCUCUCUUAAUCAUAUGGAUAAAGAAUUACAUGAGGUCAGGGAGCAGGGAGGGAUAGCAUUAGGAGAUAUACCUAAUGUAAAUGAUGAGUUAAUGGGUGCAGCACACCAACACGGCACAUGUAUACAUAUGUAACAAACCUGCAUGUUGUGCACACAUACCCUAGAACUUGAAGUAAAAUAAAAUAAAUAAAUAAAUAAAAGAAAUUAAUCCUAAAAAAAAAAAAAAAAGAAUUACAUGAGGUCAGUCACAGUGGCUCACACCUAUAAUCCCAGCAUGUGGAAAGGCCAAGACGGGAGGAUUGCUUGAGGCCAGGAGUUGGAGACCAGCCUAGGCAACAUAGUGAGACCCCCUCUCUAAAAAAAAUUUAAAUAUAUAUAUAUGUAUACACACACAAACACACACACAUAUAUAUGUGUGUAUAUGUAUAUAUGUGUGAGCAUUAGAUGAACCAGUACUCAAGGAAACCUACCUCCAUUUGGGGGCUGACUGAGGGUAAAGAGGAGAGGAGAGUCUGUCAACAUAAUCUGGUUGCGGUCUCAGCCCUAGAAACUGUGUGCUCCAUAAAGGCUGAUCAAGUUACAGCCUGUAUGAAGUGCACUGAGGGUCACAAUGGAAACCCUUUCCUGUCACAAAACAACUCAGCAGGUUGACACAGAAUGGUGUUCAUGCCAAAUAGGCCAGACAGGCCACAAUUCUCAGGGUUAGGCAAUAGAGGCAGAGACUCGGUCUCUAGAAGGCCAUUGCUUAAGUGCACGUGUUCUCUCAGGAUAAUGGAAAAACUCUGGGUGUCUCAAGAGGAGCCUAGAAGAUACCUGCUUAAUGGAAUCAAAUAGAUUUGAUCUCUACCAUUAGAACCUUAAAUUCUUCAGCUAAUUAUCACCUUAGAGGGCUCAAAGAGCUUAUUUCAAAAGGGAUGAGGCAGGCCAGGCACAGUGGCUCAUACCUGUAAUCCCAGCACUUUGGGAGGCUGAGGCAGGCAGAUCACGUGAAUCAGGAGUUCAAGAUCAGCCUGG
Molecule: long non-coding RNA, 2946 nt
Filed under: Homo sapiens (human)
Lineage: Eukaryota; Metazoa; Chordata; Mammalia; Primates; Hominidae
Description: HSALNT0014258
Source: RNAcentral